CGAGUCCUCAACUGACGCUAAUGCUCGAAAGUGCGGGUAUCGAACAGGAUUAGAUACCCUGGUAGUCCGCACGGUAAACGAUGGAUGCCCGCUGUUGGCGACACACUGUCAGCGGCCAAGCGAAAGCGUUAAGCAUCCCACCUGGGGAGUACGCCGGCAACGGUGAAACUCAAAGGAAUUGACGGGGGCCCGCACAAGCGGAGGAACAUGUGGUUUAAUUCGAUGAUACGCGAGGAACCUUACCCGGGCUUGAACUGCAGCAGAACGAUAGAGAGAUCUUGAGGCCCUUCGGGGCUGCUGUGGAGGUGCUGCAUGGUUGUCGUCAGCUCGUGCCGUGAGGUGUCGGCUUAAGUGCCAUAACGAGCGCAACCCCUUUCAUCAGUUGCCAUCAGGUGAUGCUGGGCACUCUGGUGAUACUGCCACCGUAAGGUGUGAGGAAGGUGGGGAUGACGUCAAAUCAGCACGGCCCUUACGUCCGGGGCUACACACGUGUUACAAUGGGUGGUACAGAGAGUCAACCGCCGGCAACGUCGGUUUAAUCAAUAAAGCCAUCCUCAGUUCGGAUUGGGGUCUGCAACCCGACCCCAUGAAGCUGGAUCGC
This 601-nucleotide ribosomal RNA is filed under the name uncultured bacterium. RNAcentral describes it as "bacterial SSU rRNA". It matches the Rfam family "Bacterial small subunit ribosomal RNA", at positions 729 to 1335 of the family's 1533-position model. The record is from RNAcentral.